UACGUAGGGGGCAAGCGUUGUCCGGAAUUAUUGGGCGUAAAGAGCUCGUAGGCGGCUUGUUGCGUCGACCGUGAAAACCCGGGGCUCAACUUCGGGCUUGCGGUCGAUACGGGCGGGCUAGAGUUCGGUAGGGGAGACUGGAAUUCCUGGUGUAGCGGUGAAAUGCGCAGAUAUCAGGAGGAACACCGGUGGCGAAGGCGGGUCUCUGGGCCGAUACUGACGCUGAGGAGCGAAAGCGUGGGGAGCGAACAGG
This 253-nucleotide ribosomal RNA is filed under the name uncultured bacterium. RNAcentral's name for it is "partial 16S ribosomal RNA". It matches the Rfam family "Bacterial small subunit ribosomal RNA", at positions 524 to 776 of the family's 1533-position model. The record is from RNAcentral.